GAAAUGAACCCCGAACAAGGAAUCGAAUAGAGAUUUGCACGGAACGCAAAUCUGAGAUUAGUGGACGGCUUUGGAAAAAUAUGUUCAAGUGGUUAUCAAGAACGCAAGCUUUUGUGAUGUGAUCCGUUUUCGGUUGUUAUGUUUAGAACUUUGAAUAAUGUAGUUAAAGUUGUUGUUUCAAAUUUCAAUCAAGACAUAUGUAAUGUAAAUUAUGCUUUCGAAUCAAAUGUAGGGAUGAACAUCUUUUAUGUUUCAAA
This is a long non-coding RNA of Helianthus annuus (common sunflower), 257 nucleotides long. RefSeq lists it as uncharacterized. The record is from RefSeq and is a predicted model, not a curated record. Lineage: Eukaryota; Viridiplantae; Streptophyta; Magnoliopsida; Asterales; Asteraceae. The transcript has 2 exons.